AGGGGGCGCGAGGCGGGCGGGCCGUGAGCAGCUGUCCGCUUCCGCCCCCAACCCUCCAUCUUGCAUUUGAUCCCUGAUUCUAACAGCCGUAAUCAGGACCACUCUUAGUCAGCUUGGCUGACAUCAUCUGGUCCAGACUCCGGAGGUAACUGUAUUAUCAUCUCCAUUUCACAGAUGAGGAAACAGUCCUAAAGAGGUUAAUUCAUUUGGCCAGGGUCUCACAGGUCCCUGCGCAGAUUGGAACCCAGGUUGUUUCCUCCAUGGUCUGUGUAUUUUCUGUUCAAGCAAAUUCCUGGGUGCACAGAAGAUUCUCACAGACCCAAGGCUCCUGACCUGCAGGCUCAGCGUAGCUCGGUCGUAUUCAAACACCCGGAUGCCUGGAUUGUUGGCGCCGUUGACCACUCCAGGUACUCCUCAUUGAAGCCCUCCCGAAACCACGCUUUGUUCCGUGUCUUCUCAAAGAAGCCCGGGGGCACGUGGCCGAUGAUGUACACCUAUGAAGAAGGGGUACCCAGCGGGGGUUCAGAGCUGCUUUCCCCAGCUCAUCUCCACCUCUCACAGUCUGCCCAUCUCCCCAAAAGCAAACAACAGGCUCCAAGGGAGAACACUGACUGUCCAGGGGCUGGCCCACCUGGAGCGUGGCAGAGCCUGAAUUGGGACCCGAAUCAGUUUGCCUUGCACACCCAUGUUCACCAUCGGCCACAGUGGAGAGGCAGGGGCCAGUGUUCACAGAAACUCUGAUGAGGAACCCAGGUGCGCGUGACAAGAAGAACUCACGACAUGGAACCAAAAUCUCAAAUUUCAGCCUCUUCCUCCUCUCCUACUGGUUGCUUCAGCUUAUUUAUCUUUAUAACAGGGAGUGUUCUGCUUGACCCAUCUUGCUACCAUGCUCAAGAUAAGGCCUUGUUUCACCUCUUCCAAUUUGUUCUCGUUUUAACAUCUCUACAAGUGGGUCGUGUCUUACCACUGAGGCCAAGAGAGAGCACUGUGUCAUACUUUAGGACAGCGUUUUUUUUUCUUAGCGAUACAUAAAACCAUGAAACAUCUUACAGUCAAUGGA
Molecule: non-coding RNA, 1060 nt
Organism: Odocoileus virginianus texanus
Lineage: Eukaryota; Metazoa; Chordata; Mammalia; Artiodactyla; Cervidae
Source: RefSeq, a predicted model, not a curated record